RNAcentral lists this ribosomal RNA (502 nucleotides) under uncultured bacterium. RNAcentral's name for it is "partial 16S ribosomal RNA". It matches the Rfam family "Bacterial small subunit ribosomal RNA", at positions 28 to 507 of the family's 1533-position model. The record is from RNAcentral.
GAUUAACGCUGGCGGCGUGCCUAACACAUGCAAGUCGAGCGGCAGCGCGUUUUACACUCAAUUCUGGAAUCUUCGAGUGGAAAGAGAAUAUUAAUUCGAUAAUUUUGUUUAAAGUGUCGGCUAGCUUCGGACGGCUGAGUAACGCGUGGGAUCGUACCUCAAAGUGCGGGAUACCGCAUCGAAAGGUGUGCUAAUACCGCAUAUUGUCUUCGGCUUAAAGCCUUCGGGCGCUUUGGGAACGGCCUGCGUAAGAUUAGAUAGUUGGUGGGGUAAUGGCCUACCAAGUCGACGAUCUUUAACUGGUAUGAGAGGAUGCUCAGUCAGACUGGAACUGAGACACGGUCCAGACUCCUACGGGAGGCAGCAGUGAGGAAUCUACCACAAUGGGCGAAAGCAUGAAGGAGCAACGCCGCGUACAGGAUGAAGGCCUUCGGGUUGUAAACUGCUUUUAUAAGUGAGGAUUAUGACAGUAACUUAUGAAUAAGGAUCGGCUAACUACGUG